CUUAGUUGUUUCUAACACCCAAACAAAAGAAACCCUAGCCGCCCCAAAUUCCCCCAUCUCCUCUACCGCCCUCCGCCGUCGGAAAUCGCUACACGGUGGCGAAACUUCUCCAGAUGGCCCCAAAUUCUCACCAGUUAACCCCCGUCAUCUCCCAUUUCCAAAUCUCUAACCAGUUCAUUCGAAUCAUCACAAAACAUCUCGAAUUUUAAAUCUAAGAUCGAUGCCUAAAAACCCUAAUCCUUCCAAAUCGACCCAAAGUUUCACCAUGACGCCCUGUACCCUCCUCUUCCUAAAUACCUCACUGAUUUUUCCAAAUAACCCUGCAAAACUCCGAAAUAGCAAAUCGAAGUAGGGGUCUCUGUUUUGUCCGAAUCCAAGCUCCUUAAUAUUUUCCUUCAAAAGUUAGACUUCCAAAAGUCUUCUAUUUCAAGGAGAUCCGGUCAAAUCCAUGCAAGACUGGAUACCCUAAAAGAGAAGACCUCUGUUGGUCAAUCGAGGCAGAGACGGAGCUCUGUAGCUCCUUUGUUUGCUUUCUGCUCCUCAAAUGGUAUUUCUUAGACUUUACAUGAUCUUUGAAGUGCAAGUCUGUCGUCCUAUUGGCAAUAUGUAACUGAAAUUGAAGAUCUAAUGAAAUUCUCCCCUUUUAAUUUUAUUUUCAUGUUUUCUCAAUACCUUUAUUAGUUUUAGUCUUUUGCAGUAUUCAUGUGGUUUGGAUGUGUUUGGAUGGCUAUUUGUCUAGUAGGAAAUGCUACAUGCUGAAGGUCUGCUAGCUUGGUUGUUAUAAAAUAUGUAAAAUUUCAAGUUAGUAUAGGUUUCUAAUAGUUUGUUUGUAAUAAAAAAUGCCGACUCACAUAUGUUUGAAACACUGUACCUAGCAUGUGUAUAUUUUUUAGAAUUGUAACUUUGAUAGAACAAGUGCAUAUGUAGUAGUAUAGUGAAUAUGUAGUUUCAUAGUUCAAUUUCAAGUUGUUAGCAUUAGUUGCAAUAUAAUAAUUUUAAGGUUUA
Nicotiana tabacum (common tobacco) is the source of this 1005-nucleotide non-coding RNA. NCBI's taxonomy places the organism in Eukaryota, Viridiplantae, Streptophyta, Magnoliopsida, Solanales, Solanaceae. The record is from RefSeq and is a predicted model, not a curated record.